This 451-nucleotide ribosomal RNA is filed under the name uncultured bacterium. Its description in RNAcentral is "bacterial SSU rRNA". It matches the Rfam family "Bacterial small subunit ribosomal RNA", at positions 28 to 477 of the family's 1533-position model. The record is from RNAcentral.
GAUGAACGCUGGCGGCGUGCUUAACACAUGCAAGUCGAACGAAGCACUUUGAUCGAUUUCUUCGGAUUGAAAUUUUAGUGACUGAGUGGCGGACGGGUGAGUAACGCGUGGGUAACCUGCCUCACACAGGGGGAUAACAGUUGGAAACGGCUGCUAAUACCGCAUAAGCGCACAGUAUCGCAUGGUACAGUGUGAAAAACUCCGGUGGUGUGAGAUGGACCCGCGUCUGAUUAGCUAGUUGGCAGGGCAACGGCCUACCAAGGCGACGAUCAGUAGCCGACCUGAGAGGGUGACCGGCCACAUUGGGACUGAGACACGGCCCAAACUCCUACGGGAGGCAGCAGUGGGGAAUAUUGCACAAUGGGGGAAACCCUGAUGCAGCGACGCCGCGUGAGCGAAGAAGUAUUUCGGUAUGUAAAGCUCUAUCAGCAGGGAAGAAGAAAUGACGGUA